UACCAGAUGGAGGUGGUUGCGACGAGAC
This 28-nucleotide small RNA is filed under the name Bombyx mori (domestic silkworm). Its description in RNAcentral is "ovarian small RNA-6017". The record is from RNAcentral. Lineage: Eukaryota; Metazoa; Arthropoda; Insecta; Lepidoptera; Bombycidae.